GUCGCGGUGAAUACGUUCCCGGGCCUUGUACACACCGCCCGUCACACCAUGGGAGUGGGUUGCACCAGAAGUAGAUAGCUUAACCUUCGGGAGGGCGUUUACCACGGUGUGAUUCAUGACUGGGGUGAAGUCGUAACAAGGUAACCCUAGGGGAACCUGGGGUUGGAUCACCUCCUUACCUUAA
RNAcentral lists this ribosomal RNA (184 nucleotides) under Aeromonas salmonicida. RNAcentral's name for it is "partial 16S ribosomal RNA". It matches the Rfam family "Bacterial small subunit ribosomal RNA", at positions 1356 to 1533 of the family's 1533-position model. The record is from RNAcentral. Lineage: Bacteria; Pseudomonadati; Pseudomonadota; Gammaproteobacteria; Aeromonadales; Aeromonadaceae.